RNAcentral lists this ribosomal RNA (1438 nucleotides) under uncultured organism. Its description in RNAcentral is "16S ribosomal RNA". It matches the Rfam family "Bacterial small subunit ribosomal RNA". The record is from RNAcentral.
CAGGCUUAACACAUGCAAGUCGAGGGGCAGCAUGGUCUUAGCUUGCUAAGGCCGAUGGCGACCGGCGCACGGGUGAGUAACACGUAUCCAACCUGCCGUCUACUCUUGGACAGCCUUCUGAAAGGAAGAUUAAUACAAGAUGGCAUCAUGAGUCCGCAUGUUCACAUGAUUAAAGGUAUUCCGGUAGACGAUGGGGAUGCGUUCCAUUAGAUAGUAGGCGGGGUAACGGCCCACCUAGUCUUCGAUGGAUAGGGGUUCUGAGAGGAAGGUCCCCCACAUUGGAACUGAGACACGGUCCAAACUCCUACGGGAGGCAGCAGUGAGGAAUAUUGGUCAAUGGGCGAGAGCCUGAACCAGCCAAGUAGCGUGAAGGAUGACUGCCCUAUGGGUUGUAAACUUCUUUUAUAAAGGAAUAAAGUCGGGUAUGGAUACCCGUUUGCAUGUACUUUAUGAAUAAGGAUCGGCUAACUCCGUGCCAGCAGCCGCGGUAAUACGGAGGAUCCGAGCGUUGUCCGGAUUUAUUGGGUUUAAAGGGAGCGUAGAUGGAUGUUUAAGUCAGUUGUGAAAGUUUGCGGCUCAACCGUAAAAUUGCAGUUGAUACUGGAUAUCUUGAGUGCAGUUGAGGCAGGCGGAAUUCGUGGUGUAGCGGUGAAAUGCUUAGAUAUCACGAAGAACUCCGAUUGCGAAGGCAGCCUGCUAAGCUGCAACUGACAUUGAGGCUCGAAAGUGUGGGUAUCAAACAGGAUUAGAUACCCUGGUAGUCCACACGGUAAACGAUGAAUACUCGCUGUUUGCGAUAUACUGCAAGCGGCCAAGCGAAAGCGUUAAGUAUUCCACCUGGGGAGUACGCCGGCAACGGUGAAACUCAAAGGAAUUGACGGGGGCCCGCACAAGCGGAGGAACAUGUGGUUUAAUUCGAUGAUACGCGAGGAACCUUACCCGGGCUUAAAUUGCAGAUGAAUUACGGUGAAAGCCGUAAGCCGCAAGGCAUCUGUGAAGGUGCUGCAUGGUUGUCGUCAGCUCGUGCCGUGAGGUGUCGGCUUAAGUGCCAUAACGAGCGCAACCCUUGUUGUCAGUUACUAACAGGUUCCGCUGAGGACUCUGACAAGACUGCCAUCGUAAGAUGUGAGGAAGGUGGGGAUGACGUCAAAUCAGCACGGCCCUUACGUCCGGGGCUACACACGUGUUACAAUGGGGGGUACAGAGGGCCGCUACCACGCGAGUGGAUGCCAAUCCCCAAAACCUCUCUCAGUUCGGACUGGAGUCUGCAACCCGACUCCACGAAGCUGGAUUCGCUAGUAAUCGCGCAUCAGCCACGGCGCGGUGAAUACGUUCCCGGGCCUUGUACACACCGCCCGUCAAGCCAUGGGAGCCGGGGGUACCUGAAGUGCGUACCCGAGAGGAGCGCCCUAGGGUAAAACUGGUGACUGGGGCUAAG